UGCAGUCGAGCGGCAGCGCGGGGGCAACCCUGGCGGCGAGCGGCGAACGGGUGAGUAACACAUCGGAACGUACCCAGUGGUGGGGGAUAGCCCGGCGAAAGCCGGAUUAAUACCGCAUACGACCUGAGGGUGAAAGGGGGGGAUCGCAAGACCUCUCGCCGUUGGAGCGGCCGAUGUCGGAUUAGCUAGUUGGUGGGGUAAAGGCCUACCAAGGCGACGAUCCGUAGCUGGUCUGAGAGGAUGAUCAGCCACACUGGAACUGAGACACGGUCCAGACUCCUACGGGAGGCAGCAGUGGGGAAUUUUGGACAAUGGGGGCAACCCUGAUCCAGCCAUUCCGCGUGAGUGAAGAAGGCCUUCGGGUUGUAAAGCUCUUUCGGCAGGAACGAAACGGUGUGGGCUAAUACCCCAUAUCAAUGACGGUACCUGAAGAAGAAGCACCGGCUAACUACGUGCCAGCA
This 461-nucleotide ribosomal RNA is filed under the name uncultured bacterium. RNAcentral's name for it is "bacterial SSU rRNA". It matches the Rfam family "Bacterial small subunit ribosomal RNA", at positions 56 to 513 of the family's 1533-position model. The record is from RNAcentral.